RNAcentral lists this unclassified non-coding RNA (467 nucleotides) under Bombus terrestris (buff-tailed bumblebee). Its description in RNAcentral is "misc RNA ENSBTSG00005037980.1". Lineage: Eukaryota; Metazoa; Arthropoda; Insecta; Hymenoptera; Apidae. The record is from RNAcentral.
AGUAUCCGACAAUAUCUUUAAACUUGCGGCAAUUAUAAUAAUUCCUAAGGCAUCUGUAAUAAUUCUUCGGGAAAGAGGAUAGACCACGCGCGAGAAAAUGAUAUUGAAGUGAAGUUUGACUUGGGAUGUAGCGAAGAAGAUGGUGAGUCAAACUCGAUGACUCAAUAGAUCAUGCAUCAGCUUCCCCGAAGGAGAACUAAGCGGAUAUUACGCUGGGGCUGUAUCCUUUUCGUAGGAAUGAUUGAUCGCGCGUGUAUGCCCGUCUCAGGGGAGCGUGUGGACCACCACCUCUUCGUGAAGUGUCUGGUGAUACAAUGCGGCGUCGCACGACGCGGUGUCGCGUCGUCAUUCUUUCGAAUUUCGAAUUUCGAAUUUCGAGUGCACACAGCACAGCUACCAGUUACCGUGUGACGUACUGACGCGAUGGUGUGUGUACCGUACAGAAAAGCAGCAUUCAUAAAAUAUAU